This 370-nucleotide ribosomal RNA is filed under the name uncultured microorganism. RNAcentral's name for it is "bacterial SSU rRNA". It matches the Rfam family "Bacterial small subunit ribosomal RNA", at positions 9 to 372 of the family's 1533-position model. The record is from RNAcentral.
GUAGUUUGAUCCUGGCUCAGAUUGAACGCUGGCGGCAUGCCUUACACAUGCAAGUCGAACGGCAGCAUGAUCUAGCUUGCUAGAUUGAUGGCGAGUGGCGAACGGGUGAGUAAUACAUCGGAACGUGCCCUGUAGUGGGGGAUAACUAGUCGAAAGAUUAGCUAAUACCGCAUACGACCUGAGGGUGAAAGUGGGGGACCGCAAGGCCUCAUGCUAUAGGAGCGGCCGAUGUCUGAUUAGCUAGUUGGUGGGGUAAAGGCCCGACCAAGGCGACGAUCAGUAGCUGGUCUGAGAGGACGAUCAGCCACACUGGGACUGAGACACGGCCCAGACUCCUACGGGAGGCAGGCAGUGGGGAAUUUUGGACAAU